UACGGAGGGGCUAGCGUUGUUCGGAAUUACUGGGCGUAAAGCGCACGUAGGCGGCUUUGUAAGUUAGAGGUGAAAGCCCGGGGCUCAACUCCGGAACUGCCUUUAAGACUGCAUCGCUAGAAUUGUGGAGAGGUAAGUGGAAUUCCGAGUGUAGAGGUGAAAUUCGUAGAUAUUCGGAAGAACACCAGUGGCGAAGGCGACUUACUGGACACAUAUUGACGCUGAGGUGCGAAAGCGUGGGGAGCAAACAGG
RNAcentral lists this ribosomal RNA (252 nucleotides) under uncultured bacterium. RNAcentral describes it as "partial 16S ribosomal RNA". It matches the Rfam family "Bacterial small subunit ribosomal RNA", at positions 524 to 776 of the family's 1533-position model. The record is from RNAcentral.